AAAUGCAGUAGUAAAGUCAGCUAGGUAAAAGAGCUUGAACACUGAAAACUGAUAAAUGUAUCCUGAAGAUCUCAUCUGGGGAAGGAAAAAACGGGGAUGUAGGAGAGGAGGAACAGAAACCUAGAGGUGGGAAAGAUUCACAUUCUAGGACGAAAGGGGAAAGGAAAAUGAGAAGAAAUGCAUCCGGUUCAACCCAUCAAUGUUUCAGAUAGAGAUUCUUCAGAUCGUCCCGGAAAUUAUUUUCGCCAUAGCCCCGGCUCAGAACAAUUUCAAACACCUACGGAUGCGACAUAAAGCAUUAGCCUGAGGGAGACCAUACGAUGAGCACGUAACACGAAGGUCCCGAAUCUACAGUCUGCAAUCAAUCACCGGCAUUUCUUGAGUGCUUACUGUGUGCAGAAAACUGAACCAAGUGCUUGGG
This is a long non-coding RNA of Tachyglossus aculeatus (Australian echidna), 421 nucleotides long. RefSeq lists it as uncharacterized. NCBI's taxonomy places the organism in Eukaryota, Metazoa, Chordata, Mammalia, Monotremata, Tachyglossidae. The record is from RefSeq and is a predicted model, not a curated record. The transcript has 3 exons.